UACGUAGGUGGCGAGCGUUGUCCGGAUUUACUGGGUGUAAAGGGUGCGUAGGCGGAAUUGCAAGUCAGUCGUGAAAUCUGUGGGCUCAACUCACAAAUUGCGAUUGAAACUGUGGUUCUUGAGUGAAGUAGAGGCAGGCGGAAUUCCCGGUGUAGCGGUGAAAUGCGUAGAGAUCGGGAGGAACACCAGUGGCGAAGGCGGCCUGCUGGGCUUUAACUGACGCUGAGGCACGAAAGCAUGGGUAGCAAACAGGAUUAGAUA
RNAcentral lists this ribosomal RNA (261 nucleotides) under uncultured prokaryote. Its description in RNAcentral is "partial 16S ribosomal RNA". It matches the Rfam family "Bacterial small subunit ribosomal RNA", at positions 524 to 784 of the family's 1533-position model. The record is from RNAcentral.